GUGCUCGCUUCAGCAACACAUAUACCGAAGUGGGAACGAUACAGAGAAGGUUAGCGUGGCCCCAGCACAAGGAUGACACAUAAAAUACACAAAGUGCUUUCCCGAGUC
Small nuclear RNA from Panthera pardus (leopard), 108 nucleotides. The record is from Ensembl. Lineage: Eukaryota; Metazoa; Chordata; Mammalia; Carnivora; Felidae.